UUGAAUUUAAUGGGCUAAGGAGGUAAUAUUAUUUAAACAAGCCCAAUUAAUAUAUUAAGCAUAUGACUUUUAGAUAAAGUGACUAAGGGCGAAUAAAUUAUUUAAUCUUGCCCAAUAUGUUAUAUAUGUGACAAGUAUUAUAUUGACCCAAUUUAAUUAGGGUUGAAAGCUCAAGUUGGUUGUUGUUAGUAAGUAAAACAAGUAAAUUUGUUAGCUCAAUGGAAUUAAUUAAG
RNAcentral lists this long non-coding RNA (233 nucleotides) under Panax ginseng (ginseng). RNAcentral describes it as "long non-coding RNA (PGIN_LNC006886)". Lineage: Eukaryota; Viridiplantae; Streptophyta; Magnoliopsida; Apiales; Araliaceae. The record is from RNAcentral.